This 610-nucleotide long non-coding RNA is filed under the name Vombatus ursinus (common wombat). RNAcentral describes it as "lncRNA (ENSVURG00010005950.1)". The record is from RNAcentral. Lineage: Eukaryota; Metazoa; Chordata; Mammalia; Diprotodontia; Vombatidae.
GCUCGUUACUUCUCUCUCCUCUCUUCUCUCUGUUUGUGUUUCAAUAAUGAAUUGAUUGUUGUAGCCACAACUAAGAAUCGCCAGAUCGUGCCACAGGCCCGGGUUUCCCCUCCCCUCUUCGCCCUCCUCCCCUUUUUCCCUCCCUUUCCGUACACACGCGCACACACACGCACACUCACACACAUACACACAUACACACACACACACGCGCGCGCGCGCGCACAUACACAGACACUACCCGGACGACCGGGACCAGAGUCUCUCCACAGCGGCCGCAGCGCGGCCCGGGCUCCGGGAGGAGACCAGCAGAGUCCCACCGCCGGCCGGGGACACCCUUUCCACAGCCAGUCGGAUGAUGAUUCUGGAUCAGCUUCUGGAUCUGGUUCUGGAUCAAGCUCUGGAAGCAGUAGUGAUGGGAGCAGCAGUCAGUCAGGCAGCAGUGAUUCUGAUUCCGGGUCUGACUCAGGCAGUCACUCUGAUUCUGAGUCAGAUACUUCUAGAGAAAAGAAAGUACAAUCAAAACCACCAAAAGUUGAUAGCUCUGAGGUAAAAAACAAAACAUUCUAAUGUAUGUGUCUUAUAUUAUUGCAUUUUUUCCUUAGUUCAUUUU